RNAcentral lists this ribosomal RNA (380 nucleotides) under uncultured bacterium. RNAcentral's name for it is "partial 16S ribosomal RNA". It matches the Rfam family "Bacterial small subunit ribosomal RNA", at positions 355 to 745 of the family's 1533-position model. The record is from RNAcentral.
UGGGGAAUCUUGCGCAAUGGGCGAAAGCCUGACGCAGCCAUGCCGCGUGAGUGAUGAAGGCCUUAGGGUUGUAAAACUCUUUCACCGGGGACGAUAAUGACGGUACCCGGAGAGGAAGCCCCGGCUAACUUCGUGCCAGCAGCCGCGGUAAGUACGAAGGGGGCUAGCGUUGCUCGGAAUUACUGGGCGUAAAGGGCGCGUAGGGCGGAAUCAGCAAGUUGGGGGUGAAAGCCCGGGGGCUCAACCAUCGGAAUUGCCUUCAAAACUGCUGAUCUAGAGUACGGGAGAGGUGUGUGGAACUCCGAGUNUAGAGGUGAAAAUUCGUAGAUAUUCGGAAGAACACCAGUGGCGAAGGCGACACACUGGCCCGUUAACUGGAC